RNAcentral lists this ribosomal RNA (253 nucleotides) under uncultured bacterium. RNAcentral's name for it is "partial 16S ribosomal RNA". It matches the Rfam family "Bacterial small subunit ribosomal RNA", at positions 524 to 776 of the family's 1533-position model. The record is from RNAcentral.
UACGUAGGGGGCAAGCGUUGUCCGGAAUCAUUGGGCGUAAAGAGCGCGUAGGCGGCCCUGUAAGUCCGCUGUGAAAGUCAAGGGCUCAACCCUUGGAUGCCGGUGGAUACUGCAGGGCUAGAGUCCGGAAGAGGCGAGUGGAAUUCCUGGUGUAGCGGUGAAAUGCGCAGAUAUCAGGAGGAACACCGAUGGCGAAGGCAGCUCGCUGGGACGGUACUGACGCUGAGGUGCGAAAGCGUGGGGAGCAAACAGG